RNAcentral lists this ribosomal RNA (492 nucleotides) under uncultured bacterium. Its description in RNAcentral is "partial 16S ribosomal RNA". It matches the Rfam family "Bacterial small subunit ribosomal RNA", at positions 29 to 507 of the family's 1533-position model. The record is from RNAcentral.
AGUGAACGCUGGCGGUAGGCCUAACACAUGCAAGUCGAACGGCAGCACAGUAAGAGCUUGCUCUUACGGGUGGCGAGUGGCGGACGGGUGAGGAAUACAUCGGAAUCUACUUUUUCGUGGGGGAUAACGUAGGGAAACUUACGCUAAUACCGCAUACGACCUACGGGUGAAAGCAGGGGAUCUUCGGACCUUGCGCGAUUGAAUGAGCCGAUGUCGGAUUAGCUAGUUGGCGGGGUAAGGGCCCACCAAGGCGACGAUCCGUAGCUGGUCUGAGAGGAUGAUCAGCCACACUGGAACUGAGACACGGUCCAGACUCCUACGGGAGGCAGCAGUGGGGAAUAUUGGACAAUGGGCGCAAGCCUGAUCCAGCCAUACCGCGUGGGUGAAGAAGGCCUUCGGGUUGUAAAGCCCUUUUGUUGGGAAAGAAAAGCAGCGGGUUAAUACCCCGCUGUUCUGACGGUACCCAAAGAAUAAGCACCGGCUAACUUCGUG